UACGUAGGUGGCAAGCGUUGUCCGGAUUUAUUGGGCGUAAAGCGAGCGCAGGCGGUUCCUUAAGUCUGAUGUGAAAGCCCGGAGCUCAACUCCGGAAUGGCAUUGGAAACUGGUUAACUUGAGUGCAGUAGAGGUAAGUGGAACUCCAUGUGUAGCGGUGGAAUGCGUAGAUAUAUGGAAGAACACCAGUGGCGAAGGCGGCUUACUGGACUGUAACUGACGUUGAGGCUCGAAAGUGUGGGUAGCAAACAGG
This 253-nucleotide ribosomal RNA is filed under the name uncultured bacterium. RNAcentral describes it as "partial 16S ribosomal RNA". It matches the Rfam family "Bacterial small subunit ribosomal RNA", at positions 524 to 776 of the family's 1533-position model. The record is from RNAcentral.